AUGCAGUCGAACGGCAGCAUAUCCUAGCUUGCUAGGAUGAUGGCGAGUGGCGAACGGAGUAACGCGUGGGGAUCUGCCCUAAAGUGGGGGACAACCCGAGGAAACUCGGGCUAAUACCGCAUAUGUCUUACGAGACAAAGUGUGCCUCUGCUUGCAAGCACAUGCUUUAGGAGGAACCUGCGUCCGAUUAGCUUGUUGGUAAGGUAAAAGCUUACCAAGGCGACGAUCGGUAGCUGGUCUGAGAGGACGACCAGCCACACUGGGACUGAGACACGGCCCAGACUCCUACGGGAGGCAGCAGUGGGGAAUAUUGGACAAUGGGGGCAACCCUGAUCCAGCAAUGCCGCGUGUGUGAAGAAGGCCUGCGGGUUGUAAAGCACUUUCAGUAGGGAGGAAAAGCCUACGUUUAAUAGACGUGGGUCUUGACGUUACCUACAGAAGAAGCACCGGCUAACUCUGUGCCAGCAGCCGCGGUAAUACAGAGGGUGCAAGCGUUAAUCGGAAUUACUGGGCGUAAGGGUGCGUAGGUGGGAAAGUAAGUCAGCUGUGAAAGACCCGGGCUCAACCUGGGCAGGCCAGCUGAUACUGCUUACCUAGAGUACAGUAGAGGGAAGUGGA
This 618-nucleotide ribosomal RNA is filed under the name uncultured bacterium. Its description in RNAcentral is "bacterial SSU rRNA". It matches the Rfam family "Bacterial small subunit ribosomal RNA", at positions 55 to 665 of the family's 1533-position model. The record is from RNAcentral.